RNAcentral lists this ribosomal RNA (461 nucleotides) under uncultured Glomus. RNAcentral's name for it is "SSU rRNA". It matches the Rfam family "Eukaryotic small subunit ribosomal RNA", at positions 569 to 1035 of the family's 1831-position model. Lineage: Eukaryota; Fungi; Glomeromycota; Glomeromycetes; Glomerales; Glomeraceae. The record is from RNAcentral.
CGCAGCCGCGGUAAUUCCAGCUCCAAUAGCGUAUAUUAAAGUUGUUGCAGUUAAAAAGCUCGUAGUUGAAUUUCGAGAUCAAAUUGUUGGUCGUGCCUCGGUACGUACUGGCAUUAUUGAUUUCUCCCUUCUGAAGAACCACGAUGUCAUUAAUUUGGUGUCGUGGGGAGUCAGGACUGUUACUUUGAAAAAAUUAGAGUGUUUAAAGCAAGCUAACGCUUGAAUACAUUAGCAUGGAAUAAUGAAAUAGGACGUUCGAUCCUAUUUUGUUGGUUUCUAGGAUUGACGUAAUGAUUAAUAGGGAUAGUUGGGGGCAUUAGUAUUCAAUUGUCAGAGGUGAAAUUCUUGGAUUUAUUGAAGACUAACUACUGCGAAAGCAUUUGCCAAGGAUGUUUUCAUUAAUCAAGAACGAAAGUUAGGGGAUCGAAGACGAUCAGAUACCGUCGUAGUCUUAACCAUAA